This 546-nucleotide ribosomal RNA is filed under the name Triticum aestivum (bread wheat). Its description in RNAcentral is "partial small subunit ribosomal RNA". The record is from RNAcentral. Lineage: Eukaryota; Viridiplantae; Streptophyta; Magnoliopsida; Poales; Poaceae.
AUGUUUCAAGGUACUAAGAUACAUGCCAAGGUGAUGAAACAUAUGGUUAACAAGUUCAGGCCGUCGAUCCAAGAAGAUUUAGUCUACAUGAUAGCGAAUUUUAAGGUUACAUCUGCCAAGAAUUUCUGUCCAGUUGAAGGUGGUAAGGUUAUUAAAUUUUUGCACACAACAAAAAUUCAAGAAGGACUUAAAAAUAUCAAAAUAGCAGAACAAAGUUUCAUGUUUUGUAGUGUUGAAGUUCUUUUCACAAGAGAUGGCCAGAAGAUGUACUUAUCCGAUGUCAUUGGGGUAGCAAGUUAUAUAGGGAACAUUGAAGAAACACAGACAACCCAUGGGAUCACAAAGAUUCGAGAUAUUGUAGUUCGAAUUGAGUACCAAAAAGUUAAUAUUAGACUAUGGGGUAAUAAGGUCAACCAAAUUGAUGAAGAUUCUAUGAGAUGUGUUGUCAUAGUAACAUCAACAACUGUCAGAAAACUGAAAGGUCCGUAUUUACAUCAAUCAAGGGUAAGUAGUGCCAUGCAUGCCUUUUUUGUAUUCGAAAUUUAA